CCUACGGGGGGCAGCAGUGAGGAAUAGUGGUCAAUGGACGAGAGUCUGAACCAGCCAAGUAGCGUGAAGGAUGACUGCCCUAUGGGUUGUAAACUUCUUUUAUAGGGGAAUAAAAUGUUCCACGUGUGGGAUUUUGUAUGUACCAUAUGAAUAAGGAUCGGCUAACUCCGUGCCAGCAGCCGCGGUAAUACGGAGGAUCCGAGCGUUAUCCGGAUUUAGUGGGGUUAAAGGGAGCGUAGGGGGAUUGUUAAGUCAGUUGUGAAAGUUUGCGGCUCCACCGUAAAAUUGCAGUUGAAACUGGCAGUCUUGCGUACAGUAGCGGUGUGCGGAAUUCGUGGUGUAGCGGU
This 347-nucleotide ribosomal RNA is filed under the name uncultured bacterium. RNAcentral describes it as "partial 16S ribosomal RNA". It matches the Rfam family "Bacterial small subunit ribosomal RNA", at positions 338 to 682 of the family's 1533-position model. The record is from RNAcentral.